Myotis lucifugus (little brown bat) is the source of this 75-nucleotide non-coding RNA. The record is from Rfam. NCBI's taxonomy places the organism in Eukaryota, Metazoa, Chordata, Mammalia, Chiroptera, Vespertilionidae.
GGCAGUUUUCAGGUGACACACCCUGGAAUUGGGCUCCCUCCUCUCUGGUUCUAGGUGCAACACUCGAGAACAGCA